Molecule: ribosomal RNA, 404 nt
Filed under: uncultured bacterium
Lineage: Bacteria
Description: bacterial SSU rRNA
Rfam family: Bacterial small subunit ribosomal RNA
Source: RNAcentral
UGGGGAAUAUUGCACAAUGGGGGGAACCCUGAUGCAGCGAUGCCGCGUGGAGGAAGAAGGUUUUCGGAUUGUAAACUCCUGUCUUAAAGGACGAUAAUGACGGUACUUUAGGAGGAAGCUCCGGCUAACUACGUGCCAGCAGCCGCGGUAAUACGUAGGGAGCGAGCGUUGUCCGGAAUUACUGGGUGUAAAGGGAGCGUAGGCGGGAAUGCAAGUCAGAUGUGAAAACUACGGGCUUAACCUGUAGACUGCAUUUGAAACUGCAAUUCUUGAGUGAAGUAGAGGUAAGCGGAAUUCCUGGUGUAGCGGUGAAAUGCGUAGAUAUCAGGAGGAACACCGGUGGCGAAGGCGGCUUACUGGGCUUUUACUGACGCUGAGGCUCGAAAGCGUGGGGAGCAAACAGG